CCUAGCAGUCUCUGGUGUUUGUUUUGGGGUGAUUUGGGGCGAUUUAAAAAACUUGGGCACAACAGAAGCAAGUGGCUCCAUCUAACAGAAUGCAUCUUCCUUAGGGGUCAUUUAUCUACAUGUCCAGGAGAUAAAGGUACAGAGAGUAAAACACGUAUAUCUUCAGCGCAGGAUGAAAUUGUAGUCACGUGACCAAGCUUACCAUGGAAGAGGCCAGCCAACAGAAUUCCACGCUGCGGGACCAUGAGCAUUCUCCACUGCAGAGCGUGGGUUUUGGUCACUCCACAGCCUCAUGGUGUUCGCGACGGUGCCGGCCCGUGUUCCGUAUUUACCACAAAGGCAAACAUCGCUACCUUCUUCGUCUCCCGCGCACCUGGUUGAGUUCCACACCUGCCUGGCUGUUCUACCAGCCGCUAAGCCCCCUCGCGACGAUCACUAAAUCGUCUAUUGAAAAGA
Molecule: long non-coding RNA, 456 nt
Organism: Suricata suricatta (meerkat)
Lineage: Eukaryota; Metazoa; Chordata; Mammalia; Carnivora; Herpestidae
Exons: 3
Source: RefSeq, a predicted model, not a curated record